UUUUUUUUUUUUUUUUUUUAAAUAGUAGAAAUUUAUUCCUCAAUUCUGGAGACUAGAAGUCUAAGGUCAUCCUGUUUUCAGGGUUUGUUGUUUGUUUUGCUUUUUACAGCCACACCUGUGGCAUAUAGAAGUUCCUAGGCUAGGGGACAAAUUGGAGCUGCAGUUGCUGGCCUAGACCACAGCUCAUGGCAACGUCAGAUCCUUAGCCCACCAAACGAGGCGAGGGAUUGAACCUGUAUCCUCAUGGGUACUAGUUGGGUUCAUACUGCCGAGCCACACAGGAACUCCUCGAAGAGGUUUUGAACAUAUUUUGUACUGGACUCUGGAUUUCUAUGUAAACUGAAGUAUUCGGGGCUACUGAUUUGCUGAGGCAGUUAAAAAGUGUAAAACCUAACAAUGGUCUUAGGGAGUAGGUGUUGAGAUGCAGACAUUUGGCUUGUAAUUGUCAGGUAGGUCCUGAGCAUCAGUGUUUAAUAAGCUUCCAGGUAACUCUAGGUGCCAUGGAUUGAAAACUACUGGGAUGAGUAACCGAGUUCUUAGCCCCAGUGGUGCGGCUGGAAUCUGAGAACAACUUAGUAUUUUGGAGCUUAUGCUCCAAAUUAGAGUGUUUUUCGUACAUGUAAUUAUCCUUUUUGCUUGCCUUAGAAUUGAAAGAGCAUUCAUUAAACAUAACUGCUUCACAUCUGUUUUCAGCUCCACUACCAACCUUGUCAAGGAACUUGACUGAUUUGUCAUCUUUUCAUAAAGAUUCUGAUAGCCAGCUGUGUCGAACCUGUCCUCUGAGGUAGCUGAUACAUAGAUGAUGGCAAGGGUAGUUGUGAUGCUGUCUUCAGCAUCACAAACUUGGUAUUUUUCACCCUUCCUUUCUGCUCUUGUAGAAAACAUGCAGUCCUAGAUGGGCCUGAGGAGACCAGGUGGGAGCACUGAGUAGAGUGGUACAUUCUAGUCCAUGGUGCCUCAUUUUCAUCAUUGCAUUAUACUCUGCAGUAGCAACCACGAACCAUGGCCUGGAACCUGGCUUGUCAUCGCCCCCAGAGAACACUGCUAAGUGACCAAGCUUAGCACAAACAAUUUGAUGGCACAGAGGUAAUUCAAGGACUUCUCAGUAAGAAUUUGCCCAUUUCACUGAGAUGAACUUCUAUACCUGAGGACACCUGCACUUCUAAUCCUCCUCCUGGCUUUUCUUUCCCCUAGUAACACCCACUCCCCACAGGUUCGGCUUAAAUAUCCCUACUGGUCACCUAGCCCGCCCUCUGCACACCCAGUCAUGGUAGUCACUGGGACAGGAUUACCCCAGUGUGGCUCCACUUAACGUGGGUGUGUUUGGGGACCUGUAACACUGAGUCAGGACACAGAGAUGUGUACUUUCUCAGUGCUUGACGCUUGGCUGAUGUACCUACUUCUUAGGAGGUAGGGUUUUUUUUUCCGCAUGUGGAAGUUUGGGGCUGGGGCCAGGGAUCACCCUGUGCCACAGCAGUGACAAUGCUGGACCUUAACCCACUGAGCCACUCAGAAACUCCUAACUGAAACUGUGCGUGUAACACAGGAGGUGACAUUCAUCUCUAAGCUGAGGCCAUUUGCCCACUAAUAUUUUAGGUGAUAGUUUCCACAUCAUGAACCUGAACAGACGAGGAUGAUUGCAGUCAUGGCCCCCAGAGUUCACCUGUGUGAAUCCUAAAACCUGGCUUCUCCCGUAAGGCUACUAACACCUCUGUACCCCGGCCUCCCCAGCUUUUCUGGCUUUAACAGCAGGGCUGCUUGUUUUGAAGCUGGGGAGCAUCCUUCAGGCAGCAGGGCUGUGGUCUCAAAUCACAUUGGAAUCUUGGCUCCAGGUCAGUUUUUGGCUUAUAUUUUAAACAGCAAAUAGCUCAAAGCUAUCUGUAAAGUGAAAAAAACUGGUCUUAUGGAUUCACUAUGAUGGAUUACACUACACACUGUUGGUAAAGGGCCUAUUACUUAGAACAAUAAAUGGUACCUGUUACUUCUUUUCAGAGUCUUCCUUCAGUGCCACCAGGUUGCUUGCAUGCCACUUGAGAGGCAGGUCUGAAAUGGCACUGGAUGAGCCAGUUCUGGAAUGCCUUUAAUGUUUGGCCACUGACUGCAGACUCUGGAGGGCAGCAGAUGAUGUGGGUGAAGCUGGUCAACUGGGAAGUGGAGGGGAGGUGUGCUGGGAGUUGGGGAACAGCCCAGGUCCUUCCAGGGACCACAGCAGCCCUGCUUUAUGGAGGAGCAGUUCUCUACUGCUUGGGGCCCAGAGGGAGCAGUCCGAUAUUUUAAACAUUCCUUUGAAUGUGGUUAAACCUGAGCAGCAUUUUAAAAACCAGUUUUUCUUGGGCAUUUAGAUCUUGAUUCCAAAUUAGUUCACAGUUUAAAUUAGAAAUGUGAUUUGGGGAAUUCCCUGGUAGUGAAGCUGGUUAAGGAUCUAGCAUUGUUACUGCCAUGGUGUGGUUUUGAUCCCUGUCCCAGGAAUUUCUGCAUACCUUGGGUAUUGCCAAAAACAAAUGAUUUGCCUUUGAAAACAAACCAGAAACACUGCAAAUAUAACAGUUUUACUAAUAACUAAAUUUUUUCUUACAACUUUGGGUUUUUUCCGUCUUACAUCUUCCUAAAGAUUCUACCAUGUUCCCCCUUUACUGGAUGCUAUAUAGUCUUACUCCAGGAGGUCCUGCUGCGGCACAGUGGGUUAAUGAUCCAGCUUGUCUCUGGAGGCUUGGGUUCAAUCCCCAGCAAUGGGUUAAGGAUCUAGUGUUGCUGCAGCCGUGCUAUAGAUAAGCUCUGGCUUGGAUUCAAUCCCUGGCCCAGGAGCUUCCAUAUGCUGCAGGUGCAGCUGAAAAAGAAAAAGCAAAACCCUUUUAUUUGGCCCUAAAGAAUGCCAUCUCAUCAGCAGUGUGGGAGUCUGGUAUUUUUGGCUGGUUAACUAGGUUGGGACACAGAAGCCCAAAGUUAAUUAAAAACUAAGGUGCUAGAAGUGAGGUUGAACCCUCUCUCAGAACAGUUUAUCUUGGAGUUCCCGUUGUGGGAUCUGGCCUCCCGUUGUGGGAUCCCUGGCCUUGAACCUGCAUCCUCAUGGGUACUAGUGGGGUUCAUAAGGAUCUGGCAUUUCUGAGCUGUGGUCUCAGUCACAGAUGUGGCUUGGAUCUGGCAUGGCUGUGGCUGUGGUGUAGACAUCCCUAGGGAGGCAUUUUUUUCUUUUGCACCUGCUCUUUUUUAGUGACAGUAUCUGAGGCCCUUACCUGGGUGCUGGGGGACAUACACUCGAGUGUUAGGCCAAAGUACUCCCUCUGUUAUUACUUGUGUAAGACAGAGCUGGCAAAGGUCUUUUUAAUAUUAGGAGGCUUUAUAUAUAUAUAUAUAUAUUCAGGGCCACAUCCGAGAGGUAUGGAGGUUCCCAGGCUAGGGAUUCAAUCGGAGCUGUAGCCUCCAGCAUAGCCGCAACAAUGUCAGAUCCGAGCCAUGUCUGCAACCUACACCACAGCUCAUGGCAAUGCUGGAUCCUUAACCCACUAAGCGAGGCCAGGGAUUGAACCUGUGUCCUCAUGGGUGCUAGUCAGAUUCCUUUCCGCUGAGCCACGACGGGAACUCUAGGGGUUUUUUUGGUGUGUUGUCCACACACAAUUAAAUGUGUUAUAUUAUUCUACCCUGCUUACAACAUGGACUAGUCUAACAUUAGGAUUUUUCACUUGUGUUGACAGUUACUGUGCAGGAGUGUGGGUGUUAUCCCAAAUCAGGAUUUUCAUGUGAGAUUUUCCGGUUUUUAUACCAUAACAUAAGUCAAAGCAGCACAUAGGCCAAAUUCAUUCUGCCGGCUAGAAGUUUACAGCUGAGGAUAGAUAAGAUAAAUAGAUAUGUGAAUGCUACUAGGAUGUGAGUACAGUCUUAUUACUACAAAAGUGCUGUUAAAAUUUACGGGGCAGCUAGGAACAGUGUAAGUUAGGGCUGCUGGCACAAAAGGCAGUGCAGCCCAGUAGUCCCUGCUCUUACUUGUUCAACCAUCAAAUCUUACAUGCAGCCUAUGCCAGGGCUGGAUGUCAGGGUGGAGAUUAAAAAUAAAGGUAAGAUUACUGUAAGGGGAAGGCCUGUACAACUUGAACCCAGGGAUUUAAAAGCUACAUGAGCUUUUACAAGUCCUGCAAAGCCCCUUAGCCUGGCCCAGGCGACUGGACACAGGAAUUAGGUUAGGCCACAUCCUAGACCUGGUUAUAGAGCAUGUGGGUUUUCAGAACAAUUCAGAACUUUACAUACAUCUGUUUUGAGCAAUUCUUUUUCUUUUUAUGGCCAUACCUUUGGCAUAUGAAACUUCCCAGGCCAGGGGCCAAGUUGCAGCUGCAGGCCGACAUCACAGCCACAGCAACACUGGAGUUGAGCUGCAUCUGCAACCUACGCUGCAGCUUGUGGCAAUGCCAAAUUCUUAACCCCCUGCGUGAGGACAAGGAUGGAAUCUGCAUCCUCACAGAGACUAUAUCAGGUCCUUAACCCACUGAGCACAAUGGGAACUCCUUGAACAAUUUUUAUAUGUACUGUCUCCUUUAAAACCACAUCUCCAUAAGGCAAAAGUGCCAAUUUCAUGGAUGAGAAAAUAUGCCAAUUUCACAGCAGAGUAAAAAUGAGAGGUCAAAAAUAUUGUCUAAGGCUAUAGGAGCUAAUAAGGGGUGGAAUGAGGUUGUGAAUCCAGGCUGGCUGAACUGUCUCAAAUGACAGGUAGUCUUGGAGUUCUCGUAGUGGUGCAGUGGAAAUGAAUCUGACUAGGAGCCAUGAGGUUGUGGGUUUGAUCCCAGGCCUCACUCAGUGGGUUGAGGAUCCCACGUUGCGGUGAGCUGUGGUGUAGGUCGCAGACACGGCUCGAAUCCUGAGUUGCUGUGGCUCUGGCAUAGGCUGGCGGCUACAGCUCUGAUUUGACCCCUAGACUGGGAACUUCUUUUGUGGAGGGUGUGGCCCUAAAAAGACAAAAAACAGCAGCAGGAUGAGCAGAGGAAGGACUUUAGCAGACUGGCAAGAUAAAUGGAUCAGCAUGCUGUUUCAAGUACCAGGAAGUCAGACUCUCACUGAUUUCAACACUAAAGGGAAUUUACUGGUUUACACAACUGAAGAUUGAGUAGUGGGCUCCAGGUAAAGCCUGAAAUCUUUCAGCAACUCAAUGACUUCCACGUACUAAGGACUGUCUGCCCUUGGAGUCUGAAAGUGGCUGUCAGCUAGGGAAGGACCAUCCAAAUGAUCACAAUACUUCAUUUCUGAGUUCAAGGUGGCUGUUCCCAUAGUCACCAGAGAAGGAACGUGGGUACUUUGCAUGGUACCGCCUAAGCGACACACAUUCCUUUCAUUCAAUUCCCACUGGCCAUUAUUUAUUAGCAGACUCAUAUCUAGCUGCUGCGGAGGUGCGACGGCCAUAGCCCCUCCUAAACGUUCACGGAGAAUACUGGUCAUAGUUCAGGCCUGACCCUGGUGCCCAUUCCCAGUACGUGUCCGUCCUGCCUGAUGUGGUGCUUCCUGACUGCGGCCGGUGUGCCAGUGGCAGAAGUAACCGCGGCGAAGCACCGUGCUUGCAAAGGGCCAGCCGCUGUAAGUGGCUGAAGUAGCCACCAGCCCUCGCCUGAAUUCCACACCACAGUUCACUGCAACACUGACACCCUGUGGGAGGAGCCAGCAGAACCAUCCGGAUCGUGGCCUCUCCCCUGCCUUCCCGGUCCUUGACUAAGGACCUUCCGAUCCCAGCAAUGUGCCCAGCACACACCUACCGACUUCCCCUCUGCGGGCAGUGAUACACCACCUCUCUCAUCAGCCUCCUCCAGUAAGUGCGUUUUUCUUCCUUGGACCUUACAUUUCUAUUUUAAAAGAAAGUGACCUCAAGCACUGGUCCAGCUCUGACCCCGCGAUUCCAGGAGAAAAUCUCAGAAAAAGCAUAGGCCCCACGUAAAUGCCAGAGAGGCGGGCAGGAGUUGACGAGGCCCGCACACGGUGUGUCUGUUCUUUCAGAAUCAGACAGGGUCCGCGGGACGCGUAACUACUGCGGCGUUCGAAAGCCCGCACCUCCUUAGACGCAAAUGC
RNAcentral lists this long non-coding RNA (6042 nucleotides) under Sus scrofa (pig). RNAcentral's name for it is "lncRNA (ENSSSCG00015070352.1)". The record is from RNAcentral. Lineage: Eukaryota; Metazoa; Chordata; Mammalia; Artiodactyla; Suidae.